Daphnia carinata is the source of this 2059-nucleotide long non-coding RNA. RefSeq lists it as uncharacterized. The record is from RefSeq and is a predicted model, not a curated record. NCBI's taxonomy places the organism in Eukaryota, Metazoa, Arthropoda, Branchiopoda, Diplostraca, Daphniidae. The transcript has 7 exons.
CUGCAUUAUAUCUUAAUGAUCGACUAGUUUGAAAUCGAUUCAUUGUCGAAGGCAGAUUUUCAUCUGAAACGAGGAAAACAGAAGCAUGUUGUUAAUCUUAUUUGUCCAAGUUUCUUUCGGUGAUUAAAAACCGUGGAACCGUAAAACCGGUAAUCCAAUCAUCCUGUUACUAAUGAAAACACUUUUUGUUGUGUGUGCUUUAUUGACUUUCCGGAUGAUCGGCAGAUCAAACAAAAAAAUGUGGUGAAAACAAAUUAGUUCGAAAAAAACGUGGUGUACAUGUGUGUAACCCUUUGUCGGAAUUUGAAGGACUUUGGGAACGGAACUGGGUUGUAAUUGUUCUUUUUGUGCUGUUACCAGGCCAAAAUAGAAUUGUUGUCGCCAACUAAUGGAAAAAGAACACGUGGAAUUCCUUGCCUGGCCAGAAAGAACGAGAAAAAAAAAAUCCCAACGUAUAAAUAUAGGGAGGCCUAGACGAAAAGGACACAUCUGUGGGCGAGAAAAGUGAUCUCGGACCGUCUCAUGACCUCAUCAAAUGGUCGGGGUAUCUGCCCUAUUUAAGCUUAUUUAUAGCCCCGACAGUAGGGUGAGGCAGUCGUCGGCACGCGCGCUCCAGAAUGAACGCCAUCUGAUAUGUUAACGCACGCGUCUGUGUGUAUGCAAGAUAACCGAGUAAAAACAGGAAGAAAAAAAAAAAGAUUUAACAUCAUCGAAGAAACGCGUUGGGCUGUAAAUGAGGAAGCUCCUCUUUUUGUGUUCCAAGCGGAAAUGGUGACUUGUGAAAAUUUUUUUUGUAAGAAAAAAGAAAAGGGCAAUAGCGAGACGCGAGAAAUAGUGAUGAUAGCCAGAAUUAUUCUAUUUCUGGCUAACCGAAAAUAUUCAGUUUCUUUCUGCGGACUUGGCUGGAAUAAUUCAACACUCACACUUUGUUUUCGCAAUCAGUAUUGAUCGGAGUUGGAGCCUUGUACGCUAGACUGCCACAUCAAACAUUUUCGAGAAAUCCAGGAAUGCAAUCAAAUGCGGUUUCACGAUGUAAAGCCAUUUACCAUUAUUGGGAAACAAUGGACAAUGGGGUUACAGGGUUCGAUUCAAUGGUCACGAUUAGUGUUAUCCCGUUAUGAGAGAUUUUACCUACAAACGAGUAACAUACACCCUCUCCUUUGGUCAUCUGGUCAUACGAACAGACGAGAGGGCAUAGCGGUAUAACUAAACAAGGACAAGGGAGAAAGUAUACAAAUAAAUAUCCAACCGAGUACCGGUCACACGCGUGAAGGAUGUGCCACACAGCGUGUGGCUCAAUUUUUUUUUUUUUGCAGCGUUGGAAUAGUAAUAAACCAGCCAAAAGAAAAAGGUAAGAAAAAAGAGACGUGUUUGGUUCACGUUUUUUAUUGCAACAAGUUAAAUGGCCUUGAGUGUAAUUUAAUUUAAGGGGUAUGUUAAAUUCUUACUCCCUGUGUCUUGGUUGUAUUUUUUUUUAUAUCGCCCUCAAGACAUCCGGAUUCACGGUCGGUUGGGUACGAUGUCCUCGUCACGAAAUGCAGAAAAAACUCGUGAAAGGCCAUAAAGUGGCGACAGUUUCUCGUUGCUGUAUUACAAACUCGUGUUUGUAGACGACAACGACACGCGAUAACGACCAAUCAACGCCAUGAAGCAGGAAGGCAAAUUAGAAAAUUGAUUCGCUUGACGAGAAAUGAAAAUUCCGCGUGUAGACGCGGGCGUGUUCUGAGGAUUUUCACGGUCUGCGGAACUGGUGGCGGAAUCAACAGUUGUCUAACGCUAUACAACCCCCGUACUUUUGUUUGUGUUAAAUACCAUGGAAAGCCGCUAUACUUCGCUUAACUAGGGUUUUUGUCGAUCUGCAGUUUUAUGAUCAAUCGAGUGCUUUAUGAAUGCCACAAUCUAACUCGAUGAUCGACGAAUAUUUCAAUCAGCCAACCAGUAAACAUCGAAUUCCGUCAAAGUUUGAUGAACUGUGCAAACAAAGCUGUUGUAUGACCCCAGGAUGUCACAUCAUCAUUUUGUCAUGGUUUGUAUUGUAUUUUUUGUUUAUUACAUUACU